CGGCGAGUGAAGAGGAAAGAGCUCAAAGUUGGAACCUGUUUGGCUUAGCUAAACCGGAUUGUAAACUGUAGAAGUGUUUUCCAGACACGCCUGGUAAAAAAGUCCUUUGGAACAGGGCAUCAUAGAGGGUGAGAAUCCCGUCUUUGGCCAGAGCUGUUGUCUUUUGUGAUACAUUUUCAAAGAGUCAGGUUGUUUGGGAAUGCAGCCUAAAUUGGGUGGUAAAUCUCACCUAAAGCUAAAUAUUUGCGAGAGACCGAUAGCGAACAAGUACCGUGAGGGAAAGAUGAAAAGAACUUUGAAAAGAGAGUUAAACAGUAUGUGAAAUUGUUAAAAGGGAACCGUUUGGAGCCAGACUGGCUUGACUGUAAUCAAUCUAGGCUUCGGCCUGGAUGCACUUGCGGUUUAUGCCUGCCAACGACAAUUUUUUUUGAGGGAAAAAACUAUUAGGAAUGUGGCCCCCCUCGGGGGGUGUUAUAGCCUUUUAGAAAAUACCUUGAAUUGGAUUGAGGAACGCAGUGAAUGCCUUUAGGCAAGAUUGCUGGGCGCUUUCGCUAAUAAAUGCUAGAAUUUCUGCUUCGGGUGGUGCUGGUGUUUAAAGGAGAAACUCGUCUGGUAUAUUU
RNAcentral lists this ribosomal RNA (620 nucleotides) under uncultured Helicostylum. RNAcentral's name for it is "eukaryotic LSU rRNA". It matches the Rfam family "Eukaryotic large subunit ribosomal RNA", at positions 87 to 612 of the family's 3401-position model. The record is from RNAcentral. Lineage: Eukaryota; Fungi; Mucoromycota; Mucoromycetes; Mucorales; Mucoraceae.